UGGGGAAUAUUGGACAAUGGGGGAAACCCUGAUCCAGCAAUGCCGCGUGUGUGAAGAAGGCCUUCGGGUUGUAAAGCACUUUUGUCGAGGAGGAAGGCGUGAUGAAAGUCACGAUUGACUUAACUCGAAGAAACAGCACCGGCUAACUCUGUGCCAGCAGCCGCGGUAAUACAGAGGGUGCAAGCGUUAAUCGGAAUUAUUGGGCGUAAAGCGCACGUAGGCGGUUCGAUAAGUUAGAUGUGAAAUACCUGGGCUUAACUUGGGGAUGUCAUCUAAUACUGUCAGACUAGAGUAGAGUAGAGGAAGGGGGAAUUUCCGGUGUAGCGGUGAAAUGCGUAGAUAUCGGAAGGAACAUCAGUGGCGAAGGCGCCCUUCUGGACAAAUACUGACGCUGAGGAGCGAAAGCGUGGGGAGCAAACAGGAUUAGAUACCCCCGUAGUCC
This 442-nucleotide ribosomal RNA is filed under the name uncultured bacterium. RNAcentral describes it as "bacterial SSU rRNA". It matches the Rfam family "Bacterial small subunit ribosomal RNA", at positions 355 to 796 of the family's 1533-position model. The record is from RNAcentral.